AUUGAACGCUGGCGGCAGGCCUAACACAUGCAAGUCGAGCGGAUGAAGGGAGCUUGCUCCUGGAUUCAGCGGCGGACGGGUGAGUAAUGCCUAGGAAUCUGCCUGGUAGUUGGGGAUAACGUCCGGAAACGGGCGCUAAUACCGCAUACGUCCUGAGGGAGAAAGGGGGGGAUCUUCGGACUUCACGCUAUCAGAUGAGCCUAGGUCGGAUUAGCUAGUUGGUGGGGUAAAGGCCUACCAAGGCGACGAUCCGUAACUGGUCUGAGAGGAUGAUCAGUCACACUGGAACUGAGACACGGUCCAGACUCCUACGGGAGGCAGCAGUGGGGAAUAUUGGACAAUGGGCGAAAGCCUGAUCCAGCCAUGCCGCGUGUGUGAAGAAGGUCUUCGGAUUGUAAAGCACUUUAAGUUGGGAGGAAGGGCAGUAAGUUAAUACCUUGCUGUUUUGACGUUACCAACAGAAUAAGCACCGGCUAACUUCGUG
Molecule: ribosomal RNA, 484 nt
Filed under: uncultured bacterium
Lineage: Bacteria
Description: partial 16S ribosomal RNA
Rfam family: Bacterial small subunit ribosomal RNA
Source: RNAcentral